Molecule: non-coding RNA, 11929 nt
Organism: Xyrichtys novacula (pearly razorfish)
Lineage: Eukaryota; Metazoa; Chordata; Actinopteri; Labriformes; Labridae
Source: the annotation of a GenBank genome assembly
GCGACCGCCUCCCCCUCCCGAUCGCGUCACACUCAAGGUCCAAAGAUGGUGUGCGCACUUGUCUGUGGUCAUUUCCCAUUAUAAUGAAUGGGAGGCGCAGUUUCUACCAAAACACUCGCUGCAGACAUACUACAUGUCCUAUUUGAAAAAAGUCUGGACCAUGAGUGAGGGCACAAACACAGCUAGGAUAUAUCCAAACGGCAAGUUGCUCCUUGUUACGGUGUUGCCGGGAGAGUGAUGCGAUUGAGCCAUUGAGUGAUGGGCAGGAAAAACUUGACUGUUUCUCCUGCCAUGGGGGUUGGGGGAUGGGGGGGGGAUGUGGAUUCUUUUAAGAAUGUGGAUAUUUGGGUCAUCUUUGGCGCCCCCUAGAACGUAAACCGUGGGGUGCAGCGUCAUGAUUUUUACAACUUUGAAUGGCCAUGGGGUGUAGAUUGGCCUGAGCAAAUUUGGUGUCAGUGAGACGAAAGCCUUAGGAGGAGUUAGCCACAUUCCAAUGUGUGCGAAUCGGCAAAAAAUGCAAAAUAGCCCUUUAACCGUACAUUUUACAGAUACGCGCGCAUUGACUUUUUCGUAGAUCUUAUUGAGAUACAUGUGAUUGUCAAAUUUUGUGUCAAUAUGACAAAGCGUACAGGUAUGACAGUCAACAAUGUGUUUUUUCACCUUAUGGGACAAGAAAAAAUGGACUUUUUUCUCCUGCCAUGGGGGGGCGCUCUUUUGGGGAGUAAAAAUUCCUUCACAAAUGUGUUGAUGGCUGGACAUUGCAUCAUCCUAGAAAACUUGGAGGCCAGUGAGGACAAAAAUAAAAAGUUAUAAGACUUUGAAAUAUGUGGAUUUUAGGGUUAUCUUUGGCGCCCCCUAGAACCUAAACCGUGGGGUGCAGCGUCAUGAUUUGAAUAACUUUUAAUGGCCAUGGGGUGUAGAUUGGCCUGAGCAAAUGUGGUGCCGGUGGAACGCCAGCCUUAGGAGGAGUUAGCGAAAUUCCAAUGUGUGCGGAUCAGCAAAAAAUGCGGAAUAACCCUUUAACCGUACAUUUGACAGAUACGCGCGCAUUGACUUUUUCGUAGAUCUUAUUGAGAUACAUGUGUGUGUCAAAUUUUGUGUCAAUAUGACAAAGCGUACAGGCGUGACACUCAACAAUGUGUAUUUUCACCUUAGGGGACAAGAAAAAAUGGACUUUUUUCUCCUGCCAUGGGGGGGCGCUCUUUUGGGGAUUAAAAAUUCCUUCACAAAUGUGUUGAUGGCUGGACAUUGCAUCAUCCUAGAAAACCUGGAGGCCAGUGAGGUCAAAAAUAAAAAGUUAUAAGACUUUGAAAUAUGUGGAUUUUAGGGUUAUCUUUGGCGCCCCCUAGAACCUAAACCGUGGGGUGCAGCGUCAUGAUUUGAAUAACUUUUAAUGGCCAUGGGGUGUAGAUUGGCCUGAGCAAAUGUGGUGCCGGUGGAACGAAAGCCUUCGGAGGAGUUAGCGAAAUUCCAAUGUGUGCGGGUCGGCAAAAAAUGCGCAAUAACCCUUUAACCGUACAUUUGACAGAUACGCCUGCACUGACUUUUUUGUAGAUCUUAUUGAGAUACAUGUGUGUGUCAAUUUUUGUGUUAAUAUGACAAAGCGUAAAGGCGUGACAGUCAAUAGUGUGAAUUUUCACCUUAGGGGGCGCUAUGGAGCCAUUUUGCAUUUUCUUGUUUGGGCGACUUCGGAAUAUCAAAUUUUUCACCAGGCCCGGUCAUCCUGCCAAAUUUCAUGAGUUUUCGCCAGUGGGAAGUGGGCCAUUUUCCAGUUCAAAGGGGAGGAAAAAGAAGAAAGAAAGAAACAAAGAAAAACCCCUUGGGGAAUAAUAGGGCUCUCGCAGCUGCUUAGCAGCUACGCUCGGGCCCUAACUAGGACCCCGUUGGGGCACUGGCGGGCCCGAGCCGUGUCGCGUCCCCCCCCCCAACGUGCUGCCUCCCCGUCCCAUUUGUGUCCUCUGGCCAUCGCCCUCUCUGGUAACGCCCAUCACUGCAAAGACCCUUUUUCUUCAUCGGCGUUUGCUGUUCUUCCUGCCAGUGCGUGUUGCUUUCACUUACACUUGCCACAGCCAGCCUCGUGAGUGCCUAGCCUAUUGGAUAUCACUGUCACCUACACAGGACAGUCAUUACCUUUCUAUUAAUACUUUGUGUUUUAAUUUCACAUUAAUUUCCAUAUUGUAUAAACGACUGGAAAAAACUUGAGCCCCUGCCCCUGUAUAAUCAUGUGCAUGUCUCUGUUCUAGCUCCAAGGUGAAUCUUCACUGCUAAUGUUCUCCUCAGAAGCAGUCACCUCACUCCCCUCAGGUUACUGUACACAUGCACCAACUGCCUGCUUCAGGUUUGGAUGGAGCUUCAUGGUUGUCUUUUGGAGAAAUGACCAGUCAAGUUGUGUUUGAAAUUUGAUUUUUUUCAGGGGCAAAAGGAGCCUCUGCAUUCUUGUCAAAUAUGUAAAUAGCAUGUUUUUGCAGGUGCUAAAAACCAGACUCUGAGUGUGUGUGUGUGUGUGUGUGUGUGUGUGUGUGUGUGUGUGCGUGUGUGUGUGUCUGUGUGUGCGUUCAAGUCACAUGACAUAUUUAACCGGAUGUAGCUGCAAGACGGAGCCUCGUUGACUCUCCGUUUCAACUUAUCUCAAAAGUGAGGACCUCAACCUAUAUACCAGUUUUUAAAUUGUGUUGAUAGGCCAAAUAAAACCAGAGUUAUGAUAAAUUAUGUCCGCGAUACUUUUUUUCUGCUUAUUUUGAUCACGUUCGGCGCUCGAUCGCGCUGUAUGAGACAGGAAAACAGAGCAUGCAGACAUUAGCGACAGGUCUUACAGGCGGAAAAGGCUUGCCAAAAGAAAAAAAACACACCACAACAUCUCUCCUAUUGGUGGAAAAGUUCACCACAACAACCAAUCCAAAAUUAUAUGGUGACUGAUUGACAAGGGGCGGGCGCUUACGUUCUUCCUGCAACAUGAGAAGCGAGGGAGGGACUCUCAGCAGGGAUGCAGUCUGGGACACGUAGUUGCAAACCUAGCGACUUUGUUGUUAGAUUCAAUGACUUUUCAGACCCCCUAACGACUUUUUUUUUAGAAAGAAAGGGACUUUUAUCGACUUCUUCUGGAGUUUAGAGACUCUGACAUGAAGCAGGCUUUCCUUACUGAGGAGUUAGCAACGCUGCUAAGGGUGCAGAGCCACACAUGCGCUCAGAGCUCUGCAUGGGAGACUGAAGCUGACAGAGCUGCAGCAGUUAGCAGGUUUCACCCUCAGAGACCACCAGGGGUUCAUGUUGAGGCAUUUAAAUUUUUUUUUUUUUGUGCCAUAGACACUGUCAGCACAAUCUGCAGUUACACUAACAAAAAUGCUGCAAAAAACAAAGAAUUAUGGAAAAAUUACACAUGGACUGACAUAGAGGAGGAUCUACACAAGUUUUUUACAUCAUGUUUUACAUCAUGCAUCAUUUACAUCAUGUUUUUUUGUAGUGGCAUAAAUAAAAAGUGACAUUUGUGAGACUAUACAGUGUUUUGUAAAUAAUUUUACAAAGAACGCCUGGGCCAUUGCCUGCAUUUUGAUGUAAAUAGAGGUAAAUUACUAUGUUCUUUGUUAAAAAUUUGCAUAUGUUUUGAAGUUUACAAUUUUUAUUUGAAGUUUAAGUUUUAAAAACAGUUCAUCACACAUAUUUGUGGUUUAAUUUCACAUUAAUUUCCAUAUUGUAUAAAUGACUGGAAAAAACUUGAGCCCCUGCCCCUGUAUAAUCAUGUGCACGUCCCUGUUCUAGCUCCAAGGUGAAUCUUCACUGCUCAUGUUCUCCUCAGAAAUAGUCACCUCACUCCCCUCAGGUUACUGUACACAUGCACCAACUAUCUGCUUCAGGUUUGGAUGGAGCUUCAUGGUUGUCUUUUGGAGAAAUGAACAGUCAAGUUGUGUUCGAAAUCUGAUUUUUUUCAGGGGCAAAAGGAAGCCUCUGCAUUCUUGUCAAAUAUGUAAACAGCAUGUUUUUGCAGGUGCUAAAAAACAGACUCUGAGUGUGUGUGUGUGUGUGUGUGUGUGUGUGUGUGUGUGUGUAUAUAUGUGUGUGUAUCCUGCAGUACUCUGUACUCCUGCAGUGGCCAAAAAGACUUUUAAGAAUGUGGAUUUUUGGGUCAUCUUUGGCGCCCCCUAGAACUGCAGUACUCUGUACUCCUGCAGUGGCCAAAAUGACUUUUAAGAAUGUGGAUUUUUGGGUCAUCUUUGGCGUCCCCUAGAACGUAAACCAUGGGGUGCAGCGUCAUGAUUUUUACAACUUUGAAUGGGCAUGGGGUGUAGAUUGCCCUGAGCAAAUUUGGUAUCGGUGGGACGAAAGCCUUAGGAGGAGAUAGCCACAUUCCAAUGUGUGCGAAUCGGCAAAAAAUGCGAAAUAGCCCUUUAACCGUACAUUAUACAGAUACGCGCUUUUUGACUUUUUCGUAGAUCUAAUUGAGAUACACAUGAUUGUCAAUUUUUGUGUCAAUAUGACAAAGCGUUCAGGCGUGACACUCAACAAUGUGUAUUUUCAUGUAAGGGGACAAGAAAAAAUUGACUUUUUUCUCCUGCCAUGGGGGGGCGCUCUUUUGGGGAGUAAAAAUUCCUUCACAAAUGUGUUGAUGGCUGGACAUUGCAUCAUCCUAGAAAACUUGGAGGGCAGUGAGGACAAAAAUAAAAAGUUAUAAGACUUUUAAGAAUGUGGAUUUUGGGUUAUCUUUGGCGCCCCCUAGAACGUAAACCGUGGGGUGCAGCGUCAUGAUUUGUACAACUUUUAAUGGCCAUGGGGGGUAGAUUGGCCUGUGCAAAUGUGGUGCCGGUCGAACGAAAGCCUUCGGAGGAGUUAGCGAAAUUCCAAUGUGUGCAGAUCUGCAAAAAAUGCAAAAUAACCCAUUAACCGUAAAUUUGACAGAUACGCCCGCACUGACUUUUUUGUAGAUCUUAUUGAGAUACAUAUGUGUGUCAAUUUUUGUGUCAAUAUGACAAAGCGUACAGCCGUCAUGUGAAUUUUCACCUUAGGGAGCGCUAUGGAGCCAUUUUGCAUUUUAUUGUUUGGGCGACUUCAGAAUAUCGAAUUUUUCACCAGGCCCGGUCGUCCUGCCAAAUUUCCUGAGUUUUCGCCAGUGGGAAGUGGGCCAUUUUCCAGUUUAAAGCGGAGGAAAAAUAAUAACGAAAGAAGGAAACAUGCAGGAACAAGAGGGCUCUCGCAGCUGCUUAGCAGCUACGCUCGGGCCCUAAAGAAAGAAAGAAAGAAAGAAAGAAACAAAGAAAAACCACUUGGGGAAUAAUAGGGCUCUCGCAGCUGCUUAGCAGCUACGCUCGGGCCCUAAAGAAGAAGAAAGAAGAAUCCAUCAGGAAUAAUAGGGCUCUCGCAGCUGCUUAGCAGCUACGCUCGGGCCCUAAAGACUAGGACCCCGUUGGGGCACUGGCGGGCCCGAGCCGUGUCGCGUCCCCCCCCCCCCCCCCUCCCCCAACGUGCUGCCUUCCCGUCCCAUUUGUGUCCUCUGGCCAUCGCCCUCUCUGGUAACGCCCAUCACUGCAAAGACCCUUUUCCUUCAUCGGCGUUUGCUGUUCUUCCUGCCAGUGCGUGUUGCUUUCACUUACACUUGCCACAGCCAGCCUCGUGAGUGCCUAGCCUAUUGGAUAUCACUGUCACCUACACAGGACAGUCAUUACCUUUCUAUUAAUACUUUGUGUUUUAAUUUCACAUUAAUUUCCAUAUUGUAUAAAUGACUGGAAAAAACUUGAGCCCCUGCCCCUGUAUAAUCAUGUGCACGUCCCUGUUCUAGCUCCAAGGUGAAUCUUCACUGCUCAUGUUCUCCUCAGAAAUAGUCACCUCACUCCCCUCAGGUUACUGUACACAUGCACCAACUAUCUGCUUCAGGUUUGAAAUGGAGCUUCAUGGUUGUCUUUUGGAGAAAUGAACAGUCAAGUUGUGUUUGAAAUUUGAUUUUUUUCAGGGGCAAAAGGAAGCCUCUGCAUUCUCUUCAAAUAUGUAAACAGCAUGUUUUUGCAGGUGCUAAAAAACAGACUCUGAGUGUGUGUGUGUGUGUCUGUGUGUGUGUGUGUGUGUGUGUGUGUAUAUGUGUGUGUAUCCUGCAGUACUCUGUACUCCUGCAGUGGCCAAAAAGACUUUUAAGAAUGUGGAUUUUUGGGUCAUCUUUGGCGCCCCCUAGAACUGCAGUACUCUGUACUCCUGCAGUGGCCAAAAUGACUUUUAAGAAUGUGGAUUUUUGGGUCAUCUUUGGCGCCCCCUAGAACGUAAACCGUGGGGUGCAGCGUCAUGAUUUUUACAACUUUGAAUGGGCAUGGGGUGUAGAUUGCCCUGAGCAAAUUUGGUAUCGGUGGGACGAAAGCCUUAGAAGGAGAUAGCCACAUUCCAAUGUGUGCGAAUCGGCAAAAAAUGCAAAAUAGCCCUUUAACCGUACAUUAUAAAGAUACGCGCUCUUUGACUUUUUCGUAGAUCUAAUUGAGAUACACAUGAUUGUCAAUUUUUGUGUCAAUAUGACAAAGCGUUCAGGCGUGACACUCAACAAUGUGUAUUUUCAUGUCAGGGGACAAGAAAAAAUUGACUUUUUUCUCCUACCAUGGGGGGGCGCUCUUUUGGGGAGUAAAAAUUCCUUCACAAAUGUGUUGAUGGCUGGACAUUGCAUCAUCCUAGAAAACUUGGAGGCCAGUGAGGACAAAAAUAAAAAGUUAUAAAACAUUUAAGAAUGUGCAUUUUUGGGUUAUUUUUGGCGCCCCCUAGAACCUAAACCAUGGGGUGCAGCGUCAUGAUUUUUACAACUUUGAAUGGGCAUGGGGUGUAGAUUGCCCUGAGCAAAUUUGGUAUCGGUGGGACGAAAGCCUUAGAAGGAGAUAGCCACAUUCCAAUGUGUGCGAAUCGGCAAAAAAUGCAAAAUAGCCCUUUAACCGUACAUUAUACAGAUACGCGCUCUUUGACUUUUUCGUAGAUCUAAUUGAGAUACACAUGAUUGUCAAUUUUUGUGUCAAUAUGACAAAGCGUUCAGGCGUGACACUCAACAAUGUGUAUUUUCAUGUAAGGGGACAAGAAAAAAUUGACUUUUUUCUCCUACCAUGGGGGGGCACUCUUUUGGGGAGUAAAAAUUCCUUCACAAAUGUGUUGAUGGCUGGACAUUGCAUCAUCCUAGAAAACUUGGAGGCCAGUGAGGACAAAAAUAAAAAGUUAUAAAACAUUUAAGAAUGUGGAUUUUUGGGUUAUUUUUGGCGCCCCCUAGAACCUAAACCAUGGGGUGCAGCAUCAUGAUUUGAAUAACUUUUAAUGGCCAUGGGGUGUAGAUUGGCCUGAGCAAAUGUGGUGCCGGUGGAACGAAAGCCUUCGGAGGAGUUAGCGAAAUUCCAAUGUGUGCGUAUCGGCAAAAAAUGCGGAAUAACCCUUUAACUGUACAUUUGACAGAUACGCGCGCAUGGACUUUUUUGUAGAUCUUAUUGAGUUACACGUGUGUGUCAAUUUUUGUGUCAUUUUGACAAAGCGUAUAGGCGUGACACUCAACAAUGUGUAUUUUCACCUUAGGGGACAAGAAAAAAUGGACUUUUUUCUCCUGCCAUGGGGGGGCGCUCUUUUGGGGAGUAAAAAUUCCUUCACAAAUGUGUUGAUGGCUGGACAUUGCAUCAUCCUAGAAAACUUGGAGGCCAGUGAGGACAAAAAUAACUAGGACCCCGUUGGGGCACUGGCGGGCCCGAGCCGUGUCGCGUCUCCCCCCCCCCCCCAAACGUGCUGCCUCCCCGUCCCAUUUGUGUCCUCUGGCCAUCGCCCUCUCUGGUAACGCCCAUCACUGCAAAGACCCUUUUCCUUCAUCGGCGUUUGCUGUUCUUCCUGCCAGUGCGUGUUGCUUUCACUUACACUUGCCACAGCCAGCCUCGUGAGUGCCUAGCCUAUUGGAUAUCACUGUCACCUACACAGGACAGUCAUUACCUUUCUAUUAAUACUUUGUGUUUUAAUUUCACAUUAAUUUCCAUAUUGUAUAAACGACUGGAAAAAACUUGAGCCCCUGCCCCUGUAUAAUCAUGUGCAUGUCUCUGUUCUAGCUCCAAGGUGAAUCUUCACUGCUCAUGUUCUCCUCAGAAGCACUCACCUCACUCCCCUCAGGUUACUGUACACAUGCACCAACUGCCUGCUUCAGGUUUGGAUGGAGCUUCAUGGUUGUCUUUUGGAGAAAUUACCAGUCAAGUUGUGUUUGAAAUUUGAUUUUUUUCAGGGGCAAAAGGAGCCUCUGCAUUCUUGUCAAAUAUGUAAAUAGCAUGUUUUUGCAGGUGCUAAAAAAAGACUCUGAGUGUGUGUGUGUGUGUAUCCUGCAGUACUCUGAGAAGAAUAAUAAGCAUAUUUCUGAGGUGAAUUUUGAAGAUUCAUCUGAGAGUUAGGAGGGCUGAUCAUUCCCUUACCCUUUAGAUGUCUAUCUAUGUCUGUUUUUGUGUGAUAAUGAAAGAAUCCCAACUCAAAAAGGCUCUGUUGAUGUUUUUUUUUUGUUGUUGUUCAUUCAUAUUCAAACCACUAUUUUAUAUCACUGCUAAUACGCCAAGACCAUUUUAUGGAAUUUAGCUUUAUUAUUUCUAUACAUUUUGCAAGGAAAGAAACCAAGGCCUUCACUAAAAUUUCCAUAAACUUUAGGAAAGGACCUCUGGUUGUUUAACGGGGUCAUUACUGCAAAAACAUAUUCUUCCUAAAUUUUGAAGGUCAAACCUUAGAUCCAUUAGGUUUAAAUAGAAAAAGCAUUAAAAUAUGUUAGGAUUAUAGCAUAUGACAAAUAUGUGCCUUUCAGUGGCCACAACUACUUUAUCUGCUGGCUCUGCAGUCGAUUGACGCUCCCCAGCAUUCAAGUCACAUUACAUAUUUAACCGGAUGUAGCUGCAAGACGAAGCCUCGUUGACUCUCCGUUUCAACUUAUCUCAAAAGUGAGGACCUCAACCUAUAUACCAGUUUUUAAAUUGUGUUGAUAGGCCAAAUAAAACCAGAGUUAUGAUAAAUUAUGUCCGCGAUACUUUUUUUCUGCUUAUUUUGAUCACGUUCGGCGCUCGAUCGCGCUGUAUGAGACAGGAAAACAUAGCAUGCAGACAUUAGCGACAGGUCUUACAGGCGGAAAAGGCUUGCCAAAGGAAAAAAAAAACACACCACAACAUCUCUCCUAUUGGUGGAAAACUUCACCACAACAACCAAUCCAAAAUUAUAUGGUGACUGAUUGACAAGGGGCGGGCGCUUACGUUCUUCCUGCAAUAUGAGAAGGGAGGGAGGGACUCUCAGCAGGGAUGCAGUCUGGGACACGUAGUUGCAAACCUAGCGACUUUGUUGUUAGAUUCAAUGACUUUUCAGACCCCCUAACGACGUUUUUUUAGAAAGAAAGUGACUUUUAUCGACUUCUUCUGGAGUUUAGAGACUCUGACAUGAAGCAGGCUUUCCUUACUGAGGAGUUAGCAACGCUGCUAAGGGUGCAGAGCCACACAUGCGCUCCGAGCUCUGCAUGGGAGACUGAAGCUGACAGAGCUGCAGCAGUUAGCAGGUUUCACCCUCAGAGACCACCAGGGGUUCAUGUUGAGGCAUUUUCAGUUUUUUUUUUUUUUUGCCAUAGACACUGUCAGCACAAUCUGCAGUUACACUAACAAAAAUGCUGCAAAAAACAAAGAAUUAUGGAAAAAUUACACAUGGACUGACAUAGAGGAGGAUCUACACAAGUUUUUUACAUCAUGUUUUACAUCAUGCAUCAUUUACAUCAUGUUUUUUUGUAGUGGCAUAAAUAAAAAAGUGACAUUUGUGAGACUAUACAGUGUUUUGUAAAUAAUUUUACAAAGAACACCUGGGCCAUUGCCUGCAUUUUGAUGUAAAUAGAGGUAAAUUACUAUGUUCUUUGUUAAAAAUUUGCAUAUGUUUUGAAGUUUACAAUUUUUAUUUGAAGUUUAAGUUUUAAAAACAGUUCAUCACACAUAUUUGUGGUUUUCACAGUAAAAACGUUACUUUUUUCCACUCGGAUUUUAUGUUUUGUGUGUGAAUUUGGGUCCAAUGUGUAAAUAUAGUAUGUCAAAAUGAUAAAAUAACUGUAAAUUGACACAGGUGAGGUUGUGCUGAAAAAAAUGAUACCAGGCAAGGCAAGGUAAAAAUUUUGUAAGAGGAAAUAUAAAGGUAAAAUCUAAAGUAGUCAAAAACGGCCAAUAGUGACUCACAGACUCCACAGACAAGUCCCUUUGGCGCCACUCAGUGGGCAAAACUACUUUGUCUACUGUAAUGUAUAUUUGGGUCAUCUUUGGCGCCCCCUAAAACGUAAAACGUGGGGUGCCGCGUCAUGAUUUUUACAACUUUGAAUGGCCAUGGAGUGUAGAUUGGCCUGAGCAAAUUUGGUGUCAGUGGGACGAAAGCCUUAGGAGGAGUUAGCGAAAUUCCAAUAUGUGCGAAUCGGCAAAAAAUGCAAAAUAGCCCUUUUACCGUACAUUAUACAGAUACGCGCUCUUGACUUUUUCGUAGAUCUAAUUGAGAUACACAUGAUUGUCAAUUUUUGUGUCAUUUUGCCAAAGCGUACAGGCGUGACAGUCAACAAUGUGUAUUUUCACCUUAGGGGACAAGAAAAAAUGGACUUUUUUCUCCUGCCAUGGGGGGGCGCUCUUUUAGGGAGUAAAAAUUCCUUCACAAAUGUGUUGAUGGCUGGACAUUGCAUCAUCCUAGAAAACUUGGAGGCCAGUGAGGACAAAAAUAAAAAGUUAUAAGACUUUUAAAAAUUUGGAUUUUUGGGUUAUCUUUGGCGCCCCCUAGAACGUAAACCGUGGGGUGCAGCGUCAUGAUUUGAAUAACUUUUAAUGGCCAUGGGGUGUAAUUUGGCCUGAGCAAAUGUGGUGCCGGUGGAACGAAAGCCUUCGGAGGAGUUAGCGAAAUUCCAAUGUGUGCGAAUCGGCAAAAAAUGCGGAAUAACCCUUUAACCGUACAUUUGACAGAUACGCGCCCAUUGACUUUUUUGUAGAUCUUAUUGAGAUACAUGUGUGUGUCAAUUUUUGUGUCAUUUUGACAAAGCGUACAGGCGUGACACUCAACAAUGUGUAUUUUCACCUUAGGGGACAAGAAAAAAUGGACUUUUUUCUCCUGCCAUGGGGGGGCGCUCUUUUGGGGAGUAAAAAUUCCUUCACAAAUGUGUUGAUGGCUGGACAUUGCAUCAUCCUAGAAAACUUGGAGGCCAGUGAGGACAAAAAUAAAAAGUUAUAAGACUUUGAAAUAUGUGGAUUUUAGUGUUAUCUUUGGCGCCCCCUAGAACCUAAACCGUGGGGUGCAGCGUCAUGAUUUGAAUAACUUUUAAUGGCCAUGGGGUGUAGAUUGGCCUGAGCAAAUGUGGUGCCGGUGGAACGAAAGCCUUCGGAGGAGUUAGCGAAAUUCCAAUGUGUGCGGAUCGGCAAAAAAUGCGCAAUAACCCUUUAACCGUACAUUUGACAGAUACGCCCGCACUGACUUUUUUGUAGAUCUUAUUGAGAUACAUGUGUGUGUCAAUUUUUGUGUCAUUUUGACAAAGCGUACAGGCGUCAGGUGAAUUUUUCACCUUAGGGGGCGCUAUGGAGCCAUUUUGCAUUUUCUUGUUUGGGCGACUUCGGAAUAUCAAAUUUUUCACCAGGCCCGGUCGUCCUGCCAAAUUUCAUGAGUUUUCGCCAGUGGGAAGUGGGCCAUUUUCCAGUUCAAAGGGGAGGAAAAAUAAUAACUAGGACCCCGGUGGGGCACUGUCGGGCCCGAGCCGCGUCGCGCCGCCCCCAGCGCGACCGCCUCCCCCUCCCGAUCGCGUCACACUCAAGGUCCAAAGAUGGUGUGCGCACUUGUCUGUGGUCAUUUCCCAUUAUAAUGAAUGGGAGGCGCAGUUUCUACCAAAACACUCGCUGCAGACAAACUACAUGUCCUAUUUGAAAAAAGUCUGGACCAUGAGUGAGGGCACAAACACAGCUAGGAUAUACCAAACGGCAAGUUGCUCCUC